This 460-nucleotide ribosomal RNA is filed under the name uncultured bacterium. RNAcentral describes it as "partial 16S ribosomal RNA". It matches the Rfam family "Bacterial small subunit ribosomal RNA", at positions 338 to 795 of the family's 1533-position model. The record is from RNAcentral.
CCUACGGGAGGCAGCAGUGAGGAAUAUUGCUCAAUGGGCGGAAGCCUGAACCAGCCAAGUCGCGUGAGUGAAGACGGUCCUAUGGUUUGUAGACCUCUUUAGGCGGGGAGCAAUGCCGGGCACGCGUGCCCGGAGGGAGAGUACCCGCAGAAUAAGCAUCGGCUAACUCCCGGCCAGCAGCCGCGGUAAUACGGAGGAUGCGAGCGUUAUCCGGAUUUAUUGGGUUUAAAGGGUGCGUAGGCGGAUGGUUGAGUCAGCGGGAAAAUGGCAGGGCGAACCCCGGGUCGGCCGUUGAUACUGGGGAGCUUGAGUGGGCGAGAAGUAGGCGGAAUGCGUGGUGUAGCGGUGAAAUGCAUAGAUAUCACGCAGAACUCCGAUUGCGAAGGCAGCAUACCGGCGCACGAUUGACGCUGAGGCACGAAAGCGUGGGGAGCGAACAGGAUUAGAUACCCUUGUAGUC